RNAcentral lists this ribosomal RNA (788 nucleotides) under uncultured bacterium. Its description in RNAcentral is "bacterial SSU rRNA". It matches the Rfam family "Bacterial small subunit ribosomal RNA", at positions 8 to 798 of the family's 1533-position model. The record is from RNAcentral.
AGAGUUUGAUCCUGGCUCAGAACAAACGCUGGCGGCGUGCCUAACACAUGCAAGUCGAACGUGAAAGUCUUUCGGGAUGAGUAAAGUGGCAAACGGGUGAGUAACACAUGAGAAUCUGCCCUUAAGUGGAGGAUAACUUUGGGAAACCGGAGGUAAUCCUGCAUAAUUUCGUAAGAAUAAAGAUGGCCUCUUCCUAUCGCUUAAGGAUGAGCUUGUGGUCUAUUAGCUAGUUGGUGAGGUAAUGGCUCUACCAAGGCAAUGAUGGAUAUCUGGCCUGAGAGGGUGUACGGACACAUUGGGACUGAGAUACGGCCCAAACUCCUACGGGAGGCAGCAGUGGGGAAUAUUGCGCAAUGGGCGAAAGCCUGACGCAGCGACGCCGCGUGGAGGAUGAAGGUCUUUGGAUUGUAAACUUCUGUUAUACGGGAAAAAAUACGCAUGGCUAAUAUCCAUGCGGGAUGAUUGUACUGUAAAAGAAAGCCCCGGCUAACUUCGUGCCAGCAGCCGCGGUAAUACGAAGGGGGCGAGCGUUGUUCGGAAUUACUGGGUGUAAAGUGUAUGUAGGUGGUUCCUUAAGUCUAAUGUUUAAUUUUGCGGCCUAACCGCAAGUCUGUGUUGGAUACUGGGGAUCUAGAGGCUUAUAGAGAGAAGUGGAAUUUUCGGAGUAGCGGUGAAAUGCGUAGAUCUCGAAAGGAACAUCAGUGGCGAAGGCGGCUUCUUGGAUAAUGUCUGACACUAAAGUACGAAAGCGUGGGGAGCAAACAGGAUUAGAUACCCUGGUAGUCCAA